UAAGCAUUUUAAGCAAUUAAAACGCAAAGUAAUGCAAGAAGUCAGCAGCGUUCAUAGUAGCUCUGUCAUCACAGAGCGAAGGAA
Molecule: non-coding RNA, 84 nt
Organism: Candidatus Buchananbacteria bacterium
Lineage: Bacteria; Candidatus Buchananiibacteriota
Source: Rfam